UACGAUAUUUGUCAAUACUUUGCUUUUGGUGACGCUGAAUCAUUGGACGUAUAUCAGGUUUAGCAUUUGGAUGUCUCUAGGUUUAUUGGUGUACUUUUUCUACGGUUACAGUCACAGUUUGGAAGCCGUUAGACCGUCUGAGAAAACAGAGUCUCAGUUCAUCCUGACCCAGACUCCAGACUUUGGUCAAGAACUUGAAGAAUAUGUAUUACCACAUAAUCCCCAGGGAAUCCCGUAAAUAUUGCAAUUCUAAACUAAUUUUGUGGCCAGAAAGUACUUAUAUGGAAGUGUUGAAUGAUUAGGAGGAUCAGUUCAUACAGGAAACAAUCCCUUUGAAAUCGGCACGGCCAUCGUAGAACUAGAAAUCUCGGCGUGUAUAUUUUCCCUGUAUUGAGAGGCGUUGUCAUAACGUGCUGAACUCCAGUGGAUCGAGACCUGCUGGCCAGAUUUUUAAUCGCGUUCUUCUGCAAGACUGUACUGAAAUAUACACUCUCUCUACCUAAGAUUAUAAAUUAGCACUGGUAAAUUUUCAGGGAAGCUUGACGAAAUCCCGACGAAGAGGGGAGGGGAGGGGGGUAACAAUUCAACAAAUAGAUUUACUAAGAACAAAAACAUGGCGCACGAGGCUCAGCCUCAGUAUGCCACUGAUGUUUCUUACCACAUUUUGAAGUCUGCUGUGAUCCAUUCCUGAACAGACCCACGCAAGCAACAUAUGGAAACUAUUUGUUUCAUAUAAGAAAAGGGCGAAAUUUGGUUAAUGGUGACGUUAUCUAUGCGUCUGUCCUUUAAUAGAUCAUAAAUAAGAACCAAUAAAAAUACUACUGAAAUUAGGAUCAGCUGUAACAGUAUGGACCAAAUGACUUGCGCACUGGGAAGAUGGCCUUGUAACACUUUUAUACGAACCAUAAGACUGGGCAGACUUAAAAAUUAUUAAUUGGCGUAAAAUUUAUUGUUCCACAAAAGACAAACGGUUGCGUAUGAACAAGCUCUAAAGAAAGCCGUCAGAAACUACAGGUGUUUGUUAAAAAGGAAAAGCCCAAAUAAAUUGUUUGCAUACACACUGA
Pocillopora damicornis (cauliflower coral) is the source of this 1064-nucleotide long non-coding RNA. NCBI's taxonomy places the organism in Eukaryota, Metazoa, Cnidaria, Anthozoa, Scleractinia, Pocilloporidae. The record is from RefSeq and is a predicted model, not a curated record.